GGGUCAGUAGGUUGGUCGUGCCACCGGUACGUACUGGUCCCACUGAUUCCUCCUUCCUGAAGAACCGUAAUGCCAUUAAUUUGGUGUUGCGGGGAAACAGGACUGUUACUUUGAAAAAAUUAGAGUGUUUAAAGCAAGCUAACGCUUGAAUACAUUAGCAUGGAAUAAUGAAAUAGGACGAUCGAUCCUAUUUUGUUGGUUUCCAGGAUUGACGUA
This 216-nucleotide ribosomal RNA is filed under the name Glomeromycotina sp. RNAcentral describes it as "partial small subunit ribosomal RNA". The stretch from base 44 to 216 matches the Rfam family "Eukaryotic small subunit ribosomal RNA", at positions 690 to 864 of the family's 1831-position model. The record is from RNAcentral. Lineage: Eukaryota; Fungi; Glomeromycota.